This 497-nucleotide ribosomal RNA is filed under the name uncultured bacterium. Its description in RNAcentral is "bacterial SSU rRNA". It matches the Rfam family "Bacterial small subunit ribosomal RNA", at positions 28 to 511 of the family's 1533-position model. The record is from RNAcentral.
GAUGAACGCUAGCUACAGGCUUAACACAUGCAAGUCGAGGGGAAACGAUAUUGGAAGCUUGCUUCUGAUAGGCGUCGACCGGCGCACGGGUGAGUAACGCGUAUCCAACCUGCCCAUCACUUGGGGAUAACCUUGCGAAAGUAAGACUAAUACCCAAUGACGUCUCUAGAAGACAUCUGAAAGAGAUUAAAGAUUUAUCGGUGAUGGAUGGGGAUGCGUCUGAUUAGCUUGUUGGCGGGGUAACGGCCCACCAAGGCGACGAUCAGUAGGGGUUCUGAGAGGAAGGUCCCCCACAUUGGAACUGAGACACGGUCCAAACUCCUACGGGAGGCAGCAGUGAGGAAUAUUGGUCAAUGGACGAGAGUCUGAACCAGCCAAGUAGCGUGCAGGAUGACGGCCCUAUGGGUUGUAAACUGCUUUUUAUAAGGGAAUAAAGUGGGAGUCGUGACUCUUUUUGCAUGUACCUUAUGAAUAAGGACCGGCUAAUUCCGUGCCAG